AUGUCAGAGGCUGUGUGCCUUCAGGUGGAGCAGGGCACCACCUGGGGGCCAACAUAACAUCUUAAAGACCUCCUUGGGCCCAGGUGUGCAACUCAGGCCCUCCCAAGGUGUGGCAAGUCUGCACCCUUACAGAAGGAGGAGCUGUGCCAGGAAGGCCAGUGAGCACCUUGGGGACUGAUGGGAGCACUUCUCUGCUCUGAACUGCCACAGGGUCUGGAACCUGAUGGAGGUGACAUGGUUAACCAGGAAGCAGGAGGUGGACUGAUUGGAGCCAGGGGCCAGGCCUGGGCAGAGGAGAGUUAAUGUGGCUACUGAAGAGGCUGGGAGAGAAAGAAAGAACCACCUUCUUGGUUUCAAUGAAAAUUCUAAUAAAAUUGAAGAAAACCAAAGAUUGUUGUUAUUUU
Long non-coding RNA from Marmota monax (woodchuck), 404 nucleotides. RefSeq lists it as uncharacterized. The record is from RefSeq and is a predicted model, not a curated record. Lineage: Eukaryota; Metazoa; Chordata; Mammalia; Rodentia; Sciuridae. The transcript is spliced from 3 exons.